GUUAGUGUGGCAGAGCCCGGUUACUGUAUAAGACCUAAACCCUUUAAACAGAGGUUCAAAUCCUCUUUCUAACU
This 74-nucleotide transfer RNA is filed under the name Pampus argenteus (silver pomfret). RNAcentral's name for it is "tRNA-Leu". It matches the Rfam family "tRNA". Rfam says of the family: Transfer RNA (tRNA) molecules are approximately 80 nucleotides in length. The record is from RNAcentral. RNAcentral also lists the same sequence under 2 other names. Lineage: Eukaryota; Metazoa; Chordata; Actinopteri; Scombriformes; Stromateidae.